Nerophis ophidion (straightnose pipefish) is the source of this 652-nucleotide long non-coding RNA. RefSeq lists it as uncharacterized. Lineage: Eukaryota; Metazoa; Chordata; Actinopteri; Syngnathiformes; Syngnathidae. The transcript is spliced from 3 exons. The record is from RefSeq and is a predicted model, not a curated record.
ACGAGAGCACAAAACACACAAAUGGCCAAACACACACAAUGCUUGCUGAUUUUGCUCAUGUAUGUUUGUUUAUUCUGGUUAUUAUCAUUUGACAGUAAACCGAAGUUUGUCACUCAGUCCUCGGGAUGGGAAUUGCGAACAUGGAUCCUGACCGAAUGUCAACCAGCAGGUUUCAGUGAGAAAAUUGUGGUAAAAAGUCGCUUCCUACCGGAGAUCAGCUGAGCUUGUGCCGCCCAUAAAGCUGCUGUCGACUUCCCUGAGACACUGCCCGUCAACACGCCCGGCCGUGGACACACACCUCCGACUAUCAGAGAGGCGGAGCCGGCAAACGAGCAGCGGGGCAGGGCACCCUGGAGCCCUGCCCAAGAUGGCGGCAAGGAGUCGGAGAAUGCGGCUAAGUGGAGAGGCGGGGUGUGCCGGGAGCGACGCUACGAGCGAGAUCAGGUGCGUGGCUCGCACACCCGGAAACAAUUUACAUUUCUCCUUACGCUGCAUAAAAGGGGAGAAGGAAGAGAGAUCGGGGCAAAAGGAGUUGGAGAGCCUGCAACGACGGAUGAAGAGCGGCAGCAGCGGAAGCAAGGAGCAGACAAGAACGACGACGGCAGCUGAAAAGCGAUCCAACCCGGCAAGAGAAAGCUUAUUGCAAAAUAAA